This 536-nucleotide ribosomal RNA is filed under the name Sutcliffiella horikoshii. RNAcentral's name for it is "bacterial SSU rRNA". It matches the Rfam family "Bacterial small subunit ribosomal RNA", at positions 1 to 522 of the family's 1533-position model. Lineage: Bacteria; Bacillati; Bacillota; Bacilli; Caryophanales; Bacillaceae. The record is from RNAcentral.
UGGAGAGUUUGAUCCUGGCUCAGGACGAACGCUGGCGGCGUGCCUAAUACAUGCAAGUCGAGCGGACWUCUUAAAAGCUUGCUUUUAAGAWGUCAGCGGCGGACGGGUGAGUAACACGUGGGCAACCUGCCUGUAAGACUGGGAUAACUUCGGGAAACCGGAGCUAAUACCGGAUAAUAUAAGGAACCUCCUGGUUCUUUAUUGAAAGAUGGUUUCGGCUAUCACUUACAGAUGGGCCCGCGGCGCAUUAGCUAGUUGGUGAGGUAAUGGCUCACCAAGGCGACGAUGCGUAGCCGACCUGAGAGGGUGAUCGGCCACACUGGGACUGAGACACGGCCCAGACUCCUACGGGAGGCAGCAGUAGGGAAUCUUCCACAAUGGACGAAAGUCUGAUGGAGCAACGCCGCGUGAGCGAUGAAGGCCUUCGGGUCGUAAAGCUCUGUUGUUAGGGAAGAACAAGUGCGAGAGUAACUGCUCGCACCUUGACGGUACCUAACCAGAAAGCCACGGCUAACUACGUGCCAGCAGCCGCGGUA